GACCUGAUUAUAGUACAGUGGUGAGUACGUCAGCGAUUCAUGAUUUGUUGGACUGGAAAUCAUCAUUUUGAGUUGAAGACCCGGGUUCGAUUCUGGGUCAGGUCA
Mycena rebaudengoi is the source of this 105-nucleotide non-coding RNA. The record is from the annotation of a GenBank genome assembly. NCBI's taxonomy places the organism in Eukaryota, Fungi, Basidiomycota, Agaricomycetes, Agaricales, Mycenaceae.